UACGUAGGGUGCAAGCGUUGUCCGGAAUUAUUGGGCGUAAAGAGCUCGUAGGCGGUUUGUCGCGUCGGCUGUGAAAACCCGGGGCUCAACCCCGGGCCUGCAGCCGAUACGGGCAAACUAGAGUGCGGUAGGGGAGACUGGAAUUCCUGGUGUAGCGGUGAAAUGCGCAGAUAUCAGGAGGAACACCGGUGGCGAAGGCGGGUCUCUGGGCCGUAACUGACGCUGAGGAGCGAAAGCGUGGGGAGCGAACAGG
This 253-nucleotide ribosomal RNA is filed under the name uncultured bacterium. Its description in RNAcentral is "partial 16S ribosomal RNA". It matches the Rfam family "Bacterial small subunit ribosomal RNA", at positions 524 to 776 of the family's 1533-position model. The record is from RNAcentral.